This 482-nucleotide ribosomal RNA is filed under the name Arthrobacter sp. LA 80. Its description in RNAcentral is "bacterial SSU rRNA". It matches the Rfam family "Bacterial small subunit ribosomal RNA", at positions 55 to 555 of the family's 1533-position model. Lineage: Bacteria; Bacillati; Actinomycetota; Actinomycetes; Micrococcales; Micrococcaceae. The record is from RNAcentral.
AUGCAGUCGACGAUGAGGGAGCUUGCUCCUGGAUUAGUGGCGAACGGGUGAGUAACACGUGAGUAACCUGCCCUUGACUCUGGGAUAAGCCUGGGAAACUGGGUCUAAUACCGGAUAUGACCUUCCAUCGCAUGGUGGUUGGUGGAAAGCUUUUGUGGUUUUGGAUGGACUCGCGGCCUAUCAGCUUGUUGGUGGGGUAAUGGCCUACCAAGGCGACGACGGGUAGCCGGCCUGAGAGGGUGACCGGCCACACUGGGACUGAGACACGGCCCAGACUCCUACGGGAGGCAGCAGUGGGGAAUAUUGCACAAUGGGCGCAAGCCUGAUGCAGCGACGCCGCGUGAGGGAUGACGGCCUUCGGGUUGUAAACCUCUUUCAGUAGGGAAGAAGCGAAAGUGACGGUACCUGCAGAAGAAGCGCCGGCUAACUACGUGCCAGCAGCCGCGGUAAUACGUAGGGCGCAAGCGUUAUCCGGAAUUAUU